GGAGAUGGAUUCUGAGACACGAAUCCAGACCCUACGGGGUGCAGCAGGCGCGAAAACUUGGCAAUGCGAGAAAUCGUGACCAGGGAACUCCAAGUGGCUGGGGUAAGACCCAGUCUAUUCUUGACUCUUCAAAGGUCUUGGAAUAAGGGGUGGGUAAGGACGGUGCCAGCCGCCGCGGUAAUACCGGCGCCUCAAGUGGUAGUCGAUCUUAUUGGGCCUAAAACGUCCGUAGCCUGUUUGGUACAUUCGUGGGUAAAUCAACCAGCUCAACUGAUUGAAUUCUGCGAGCACGGCCAGACUUGGGACCGGGAGAGGUGUGGGGUACGCUCAGGGUAGGGGUAAAAUCCUGUCAUCCUGAGCGGACCACCUGUUGCGAAGGCACCACACUAGAACGGAUCCGACGGUCAGGGACGAAGCCUAGGGGCACGAACCGGAUUAGAUACCCGGGUAGUCCUAGGUGUAAACGCUGUGGACUUGGUGUUGGGGACUCUCCGAGAUUCCUCAGUGCCGAAGCGAAGGUGAUAAGUCCACUGCCUGGGGAGUACGGUCGCAAGGCUGAAACUUAAAGGAAUUGGCGGGGGAGCACCGCAACCUGAGGAUUGUGCGGUUUAAUUGGAUUCAACGCCGGGAA
Molecule: ribosomal RNA, 631 nt
Filed under: uncultured archaeon
Lineage: Archaea
Description: bacterial SSU rRNA
Rfam family: Archaeal small subunit ribosomal RNA
Source: RNAcentral